GGAAGUGUGGCAGAACGGUAAUGCAGCGGCUUGCUAAGCCGCCGGCGCGGCAAACACCGCGCUUGGAGGUUCGAAUCCUCUCACUUCCG
Molecule: transfer RNA, 89 nt
Filed under: Mycobacterium avium
Lineage: Bacteria; Bacillati; Actinomycetota; Actinomycetes; Mycobacteriales; Mycobacteriaceae
Also listed under: 3 other names
Description: tRNA-Ser
Rfam family: tRNA
About the family: Transfer RNA (tRNA) molecules are approximately 80 nucleotides in length. Their secondary structure includes four short double-helical elements and three loops (D, anti-codon, and T loops).
Source: RNAcentral